RNAcentral lists this long non-coding RNA (282 nucleotides) under Elaeis guineensis (African oil palm). RNAcentral's name for it is "long non-coding RNA (EGUI_LNC045156)". The record is from RNAcentral. Lineage: Eukaryota; Viridiplantae; Streptophyta; Magnoliopsida; Arecales; Arecaceae.
CCAUGAGAAAUGAUUUUCUCUAUAUCCUCUGUUAAGCAUACCCAAGUACCUUUCGAGAGGAUUGGAGAUCCUAUUAUAUGUAUGAGGUGGAGAAGGAAUAUACGUCUACUGGCUUAUCAUGAAUGGGUUCUUUAAAUCCUAUGGCUCGUUGCUCUUUAGAGACACUCUCUUCGAGCUUAACUUUCCUCCCACUACUUCAUUUUGGUUAAAUAAUUUUUCAAGAAGAUAGCAUGUCGGGUCACAAAAAUAUUGUAAUCCUAUCAGAAAGUAGUAUUCCAAACU